CAGUCGCCGCGGGAAUACAGAGGGUGCGUGCGUUAAUCGGAUUUACUGGGCGUAAAGCGUGCGUAGGCGGCUUCUUAAGUCGGAUGUGAAAUCCCUGAGCUUAACUUAGGAAUUGCAUUCGAUACUGGGAAGCUAGAGUAUGGGAGAGGAUGGUAGAAUUCCAGGUGUAGCGGUGAAAUGCGUAGAGAUCUGGAGGAAUACCGAUGGCGAAGGCAGCCAUCUGGCCUAAUACUGACGCUGAGGUACGAAAGCAUGGGGAGCAAACAGGAUUAGAUACCCCCGUAGUCCCUGUCUCUUAUAC
RNAcentral lists this ribosomal RNA (301 nucleotides) under uncultured bacterium. Its description in RNAcentral is "partial 16S ribosomal RNA". It matches the Rfam family "Bacterial small subunit ribosomal RNA", at positions 509 to 807 of the family's 1533-position model. The record is from RNAcentral.